UGUCUUUUUGAUAAUAAUAUAAAGUUUAAUCUGCCCACUGAUUUUAAAUUAAAGGGCUGCAGUAUAUUGACUGUACAAAGGUAGCAUAAUCAUUAGUCAUUUAAUUGAUGACUUGUAUGAAAGAUUGGAUGAAAUAUAAACUGUCUUUUAUUUAAUUAUAAAAUUUAAUUUUUUUAUAAAAAAGUUAAAAUAAUUUAAAAAGACGAGAAGACCCUAUAGAGUUUUAUAUAUAAUUAAAUUGAGAUUAUAUUGAAAAUUAAAUUUAAAAUUUAAUUAUUUAUUUUAUUGGGGUGAUGAAAAAAUAUAAAAAACUUUUUUUUUUAUAAAAACAUUUAUAAGUGAUUGAAUGAUUCAAUAAUAUUGAUUAUAAGAAAAAAUUACCUUAGGGAUAACAGCGUAAUUUUUUUUUUUAGUUCAAAUAAAAAAAAAAGUUUGCGACCUCGAUGUUGGAUUAAGAUAAAAUUUAAAUGUAGAAG
This 476-nucleotide ribosomal RNA is filed under the name Acrapex alemura. Its description in RNAcentral is "partial large subunit ribosomal RNA". Lineage: Eukaryota; Metazoa; Arthropoda; Insecta; Lepidoptera; Noctuidae. The record is from RNAcentral.